This 1372-nucleotide ribosomal RNA is filed under the name uncultured bacterium. RNAcentral describes it as "bacterial SSU rRNA". It matches the Rfam family "Bacterial small subunit ribosomal RNA", at positions 28 to 1381 of the family's 1533-position model. The record is from RNAcentral.
GAUGAACGCUGGCGGCGUGCCUAAUACAUGCAAGUCGAGCGAACGGACGAGAAGCUUGCUUCUCUGAUGUUAGCGGCGGACGGGUGAGUAACACGUGGAUAACCUACCUAUAAGACUGGGAUAACUUCGGGAAACCGUAGCUAAUACCGGAUAAUAUUUUGAACCGCAUGGUUCAAAAGUGAAAGACGGUCUUGCUGUCACUUAUAGAUGGAUCCGCGCUGCAUUAGCUAGUUGGUAAGGUAACGGCUUACCAAGGCAACGAUGCAUAGCCGACCUGAGAGGGUGAUCGGCCACACUGGAACUGAGACACGGUCCAGACUCCUACGGGAGGCAGCAGUAGGGAAUCUUCCGCAAUGGGCGAAAGCCUGACGGAGCAACGCCGCGUGAGUGAUGAAGGUCUUCGGAUCGUAAAACUCUGUUAUUAGGGAAGAACAUAUGUGUAAGUAACUGUGCACAUCUUGACGGUACCUAAUCAGAAAGCCACGGCUAACUACGUGCCAGCAGCCGCGGUAAUACGUAGGUGGCAAGCGUUAUCCGGAAUUAUUGGGCGUAAAGCGCGCGUAGGCGGUUUUUUAAGUCUGAUGUGAAAGCCCACGGCUCAACCGUGGAGGGUCAUUGGAAACUGGAAAACUUGAGUGCAGAAGAGGAAAGUGGAAUUCCAUGUGUAGCGGUGAAAUGCGCAGAGAUAUGGAGGAACACCAGUGGCGAAGGCGACUUUCUGGUCUGUAACUGACGCUGAUGUGCGAAAGCGUGGGGAUCAAACAGGAUUAGAUACCCUGGUAGUCCACGCCGUAAACGAUGAGUGCUAAGUGUUAGGGGGUUUCCGCCCCUUAGUGCUGCAGCUAACGCAUUAAGCACUCCGCCUGGGGAGUACGACCGCAAGGUUGAAACUCAAAGGAAUUGACGGGGACCCGCACAAGCGGUGGAGCAUGUGGUUUAAUUCGAAGCAACGCGAAGAACCUUACCAAAUCUUGACAUCCUUUGACAACUCUAGAGAUAGAGCCUUCCCCUUCGGGGGACAAAGUGACAGGUGGUGCAUGGUUGUCGUCAGCUCGUGUCGUGAGAUGUUGGGUUAAGUCCCGCAACGAGCGCAACCCUUAAGCUUAGUUGCCAUCAUUAAGUUGGGCACUCUAAGUUGACUGCCGGUGACAAACCGGAGGAAGGUGGGGAUGACGUCAAAUCAUCAUGCCCCUUAUGAUUUGGGCUACACACGUGCUACAAUGGACAAUACAAAGGGCAGCGAAACCGCGAGGUCGAGCAAAUCCCAUAAAGUUGUUCUCAGUUCGGAUUGUAGUCUGCAACUCGACUACAUGAAGCUGGAAUCGCUAGUAAUCGUAGAUCAGCAUGCUACGGUGAAUACGUUCCCGGGUCU